Molecule: ribosomal RNA, 550 nt
Filed under: uncultured soil bacterium
Lineage: Bacteria
Description: bacterial SSU rRNA
Rfam family: Bacterial small subunit ribosomal RNA
Source: RNAcentral
GUGUGGGGUCCUAUCGACGGACUCCAUGCCGUAGCUAACGCAUUAAGUGCCCCGCCUGGGGAGUACGGCCGCAAGGCUAAAACUCAAAGGAAUUGACGGGGGCCCGCACAAGCGGCGGAGCAUGUUGCUUAAUUCGAUGCAACGCGAAGAACCUUACCUGGGCUUGACAUGUAGGGAAAAGCCGUAGAGAUACGGUGUCCUUCGGGGCCUUACACAGGUGGUGCAUGGUUGUCGUCAGCUCGUGUCGUGAGAUGUUGGGUUAAGUCCCGCAACGAGCGCAACCCUUGUCCUAUGUUGCCAGCGGGUAAUGCCGGGGACUCGUAGGAGACUGCCGGGGUCAACUCGGAGGAAGGUGGGGAUGACGUCAAAUCAUCAUGCCCCUUACGUCCAGGGCUGCAAACAUGCUACAAUGGCCGGUACAAAGGGCUGCUAUUCCGCGAGGAUGAGCGAAUCCCAAAAAGCCGGUCUCAGUUCGGAUCGAAGUCUGCAACUCGACUUCGUGAAGUCGGAGUCGCUAAUAAUCCCGGAUCAACAUUGCCGGGGCGAAUAC